GAUGAAGAACGCAGCGAAAUGCGAUACUUGGUGUGAAUUGCAGAAUCCCGUGAACCAUCGAGUCUUUGAACGCAAGUUGCGCCCGAAGCCACUAGGCCGAGGGCACGCCUGCUGGGCGUCACACGUCGUUCCCCCCCCAACUACUCCUUCGGGAUUGCGGGGGGCGGAUGAUGGCCUCCCGUGCGCCUCGCCGCGCGGUUGGCAUAAAUACCAAGUCCUCGACGGCGCACGCCACGACAAUCGGUGGUUGCGAAACCUCGGUUGCCCGUCGUGUGCGUUCGUCGCGCAUCGAGGGCUCGAAAAAAUGCUCGGCUCCGGCUCGGCUUUCAACGCGACCCCAGGUCAGGCGGGGUUACCCGCUGAAUUUAAGCAUGUCAAUAAGCGGAGGA
RNAcentral lists this unclassified non-coding RNA (389 nucleotides) under soil metagenome. RNAcentral describes it as "partial contains 5.8S ribosomal RNA, internal transcribed spacer 2, and large subunit ribosomal RNA". The stretch from base 1 to 121 matches the Rfam family "5.8S ribosomal RNA", at positions 35 to 154 of the family's 154-position model. The record is from RNAcentral.